RNAcentral lists this microRNA precursor (91 nucleotides) under Callithrix jacchus (white-tufted-ear marmoset). RNAcentral describes it as "microRNA cja-mir-1253 precursor". Lineage: Eukaryota; Metazoa; Chordata; Mammalia; Primates; Cebidae. The record is from miRBase by way of RNAcentral.
GCAAGAGGUAGAAUCCCAAAGAAGAGAAGAUCAGCCUGCAAAGACGGACUGCCAAAUGCAGGCUGAUGUUCUCCUCUUUGGAUUCUCUUGU